This is a long non-coding RNA of Amphiprion ocellaris (clown anemonefish), 549 nucleotides long. The record is from Ensembl. Lineage: Eukaryota; Metazoa; Chordata; Actinopteri; Pomacentridae.
AGGUGGAGGAGGUUGUGCAGGUGUGUUCCAGGGCAUCACCUAGCAGUUCUGCAAACGUGUCUGUGAUACAGGAGGCGGAGGCCUCUCCAAGUGUUGGGCAGGUGUGUUUCGGGACAUCACCUAGUUGUGCUGCAGAGGUGUCUGUGACACAGGAGGUGGAGGCAGCCCCGGUUCUUGUACAUCCGUUUUCCGUGCCAGUACCUGCAAGCGCAGAGGUUGGAGCUGCAGUGAGCCGAGGUCAUGCUGAGUUAAUCUCUGAUGUUUGUGGGUGUCCAUUUGCAAAGCUUGAAGAAUCAGUGCAGUGCACUUUUAUGAGGAUGCAUCAGGCAUGGAAUGCAUGAGGUUUGAGUGGGGAUGGUUCUAUCUUCCCCCACUCCUGCAAAGUCCUAGAGUUGAGCUAUUUCAUGGUGGUUGCUGGUGGACUGGUAAAGAUGCUGUUCAGGAUUCUCCAACGGAUCUCCAUUGGGUUGAGAUUAAGGGAGUUUGGAGGCCAUUCCUCCUUACACAGAAAGCCAGGUAGAUGCUCAGAACACCAUUCCUGAGUCAUAC